Dreissena polymorpha is the source of this 423-nucleotide long non-coding RNA. RefSeq lists it as uncharacterized. NCBI's taxonomy places the organism in Eukaryota, Metazoa, Mollusca, Bivalvia, Myida, Dreissenidae. The transcript is spliced from 3 exons. The record is from RefSeq and is a predicted model, not a curated record.
UGAUCUAGUCUCAGGAUUCAAGUGAAGCCUAAAUAUCUGUAUCGGGUAAGUUUAAAUAUCUAGUCUCAGGGUUCAAGUGAAGCCUCACCUUCUGUAUAAGGUAAGUUUAGUAAUCUAGACUCAGGGUUCAAGUGAAGCCUCACCUUCUGUAUAAGGUAAGUUUAGUAAUCUAGACUCAGGGUUCAAGUGAAGCCUCACCUUCUGUAAAGGUAAGUUUAGUAAUCUAGACUCAGGGUUCAAGUGAAGCCUCACCUUCUGUAUAAGGUAAGUUUAGUAAUCUAGUCUCAGGGUUCAAGUGAAGCCUCACCUUCUGUAUAAGGUAAGUUUAGUAAUCUAGACUCAGGGUUCAAGUGAAGCCUCACCUUCUGUAUAAGGUAAGUUUAGUGAUCUAGACUCAGGGUUCAAGUGAAGCCUUAUUUUCUG